This 4940-nucleotide long non-coding RNA is filed under the name Marmota monax (woodchuck). The record is from RNAcentral. Lineage: Eukaryota; Metazoa; Chordata; Mammalia; Rodentia; Sciuridae.
CCAGCCCUUUUAUUUUUUAUUUUGAGACAGGGUCUCACAAAGUUGCUGAGACUGGCUUUGACUUUGCAAAAGAGCCAAUCACAUUUUUAAGAGUAGUCAUGGUCAGCUGGGGUGUGGUAUCAUGGGCCAGUGACUCAUGAGGCUAAGGCAGGAGGAUCCAAAGUUCGAGGCCAGCCUGAGCAAUUUAGCAAGACCUUGUCUAACAAUUAAAAAAGAAAAAGGAGCUGGAUGUGGUGGCAUGUACCUGUAAUCCUAGUGACUCAGGAGUCUGAGGCAGGAGGAUUGCAAGUUCAAGGCCAGCCUCAGCAAAUAACAAAUCCCUAAGCAACUUGGUGAGAACCUGUCUCAAAAUAAAAUAAUAAUAAUAAUAAAAAGGGUUGGGGAUGUGGGUAAGUGCCCCGGGGUUCAAUCCCUGGUACCAAAAAGGAAAAAAAAGAAAAAAAGGAACUGUGAAUGUAGCUCAGGGAUAGAGCACCCCUGGGUUCUAUACCCUGUACCACAAAAAUUAAUGAGUUGUAGUAGUAGUCAUGAUGCAGGGUAUUGUUUUUUUUCAAAUUAAUGUUCUCCACUGUUAUAUUCAGAUUCAGCAAAUGACCACAUCACUCCAAGUAUUGUGACAUCUCAUUUUGAAUUUAUUUCCACAUUUAUAAAUUUCCACAUUUAUAGUUCUUAGGUGAAGACCAAUAUGCUAUUGUCUAGUACCACAGUAAAACAUCCAUCCAUCAAACUUUGUAUAUUGGAAGCUAACUACUACUGAGCAAAUAUGUCAACUGUCCAAAAUACUGGAAAUUCACUAGUCUUGCUAAUUGCAGAAAAACUUUAUGCAGCCUUUUUGGGCUGUCAAGACUUUUAGUAGCAAAUCUCUUUGAGAAAGGAGUCUCUUUUCUUUCCUGAGACUUUUGAUCAUCAGACUUUGCUCUCUCUUUUCAUCUUAAAGACCUGUGAUGUUUUCCACAGAGGUCUGGAGAUUGGGUUUUAGAAAUGCUAGUUCCAAGAACAGAUUUUCAUUUAUCUACAAAUUAUAAAUAAAUAAGAGUGGUUGGAAACUAAAUUACUUGAAAUUUGCAUUUAAUUACAGGCCAGCUUCACUUAAGGUUCUGGAUGUUUUGGAUCACUUCUUAGAUGCCUUAUUUAAUGGCCCGUGGUCCCAUUGCCACAGUGAAAUAGAAUUAAUAACAAGUAUUCUAUGCUGACUUAAUACUUGACAAACAUAUCAUUCUUUGUUAAAAAAAAUAUCCUGGCAAAUCUAGCAGGUUUCAAAAGGAUUCUAAUUUUUUAGAAAUACAAGUCCUUAAUUAUAGCUGUAGAGAAAUUUGAGAUGAACAUAUUAACCAACACAUGACAAAUAUAGACACUGUACUGUCCUGCUGGCUAACAGCUUUGACUGAAGCCUGACAUUUUCUUUUUCAAGCUGUUUCAGAGUAAAAUUAACUUGAAAUACUUCUGAAUGGAAGGAAGUCAUUUCAUAGUCCAAAUUAUCUUUUUUCCUUUUGAAUUCUAUUAGAACUUGUCAUUACAGGCCAAUCGAAAGGAUCUAGUACAUAUUUUUUUCUAAAACUUGAAAUAAAAUUUGAAUUUAGUUUAUAUUAAAUUGCAUCUAAUAUAAUCAAAGGGGACUUUGUCUAUAUGGUAGGACAUAUAUAGAAAAUACCAAUAUAGACUUUCUGUAUAUGGUAGGACAAUUUUGAAAACACCAGUGUAGACAAUAAACUGAACAAAAAUAUAAUUAAAAGAACAGAAUUGGAAACCUGAAUUCCAAGCUGUUUAAAUUGAUACCUAAUCUGUUUGCAUUUAACCACAUCAUUAACCUCACUUUGUUUAUUCCUUAAUAGGACUAAGAUUGCCUUUACCCCAGGGAUGUUCAGAUUCUAAACUAUAUGCAAUUUGAGAUCCUUGGAAGACAAGUAAAGAUCUGUGGUGAUGUUGUUAUUGUUCAGUAUUCUUUUAAUAUAUUACUGAAUUAUACGCUUAAGAGUUUGAAAGAACAAAUUGGGUGUUGAUAGAGUCUCUAAUCCCCCCAGCUACUAGAUUAUUUGUUCUUUCACUUUCUCUGUAGUCCCAGGAAAAGCCACUAGUAAGGAAGACUUUUAAAGUACGUAAACCAAAUCAUCUAAACAAAAUUGCCAUCUAUGAACACACAGUUAUCACUCAUUUGGAUUACAUUUUAAAAACUUUCAGUCUAAUGUAUCAUAAUCUUCAUGUAAUUAUGAUAUUCCCAUUUUUCAGAUGGAAAUAUGGGCACUGAGAAAUUAAGGGAGAAGCCCAAUGAUGAGAACUGGAAUCAUUUAUCUCUUGUGGAACUUUCCACUCUGUUUCUGUGGUUCUCAUAAUAGAAACAGAAAGGUCUGAAGGUUUAAGCUUUCAGAGGACAAUAAUGCAGAUAUGAUGCCUGGGGAAUAAUGUAACAUGCUUAAUUUGUUGGAUAACAAAGCAGGCUUAUUCAAGUCUCUUUGAGAUAAAAGGAAAGUCAAGCAAAUGGCAGAGAGUAAUUUAUCCUUACAAUAUUUUUAAAGUAUCACUCCCAAACACUCAAAUUUAAGGGACUCUUCUUUUUUCUUUUUGUUCAUUUGAUUACCCGAUAGUUUAUAAAUCGCGGGUCUGUUUCGUACAUUUUGUACCAGACAAGUCUGGGCAUACAAAGAUUGUAGAGAGUUCACAAAAGCCACUUAACAUACUUGGUUGUCAUUUAAAUUAUGACUUUGGAAACAAAAGAAGACAAGCCCUUUUACAGUGAUAGGCAGGUUUACAUAAAUUGCUACAUGAACUGAAUUCAGGAUAAUUUCAGUUCAUAUUGAAAAAUUCUUCCAUUGACACUCUGCCAUAAUACUCUAUAAUAUUUUGCAAAAUAUUCACAGUGAUUAAUAAGCAUGACAGUUCCACCAACUUCUCUUCUGUGUACUCAUUAUGUAAGUCAUGGAAUCUGCGGCCCCACCUACUCCCAGGCUUUCCAUGAAUGAUUGGAUGAAAUAUAGCUUUUCCUCCAAAUAUCCUGCCACAUUAUAAACCAAGAAAAGAAAGCCCAGAGACAAGACUUAGGAGCACAGAUGAAACUUGAGUUUUGUAAAUUUGCUUCCCCUAUUAUCUCUCUUGCAACAAUUUCAGUUCAAUGACUCAAGAAUAUCCAAGGAAGAGAAGAAAGAGGAGAAGUUAAAAGAACUAAAAAAAAAGAAAAGAAAAGACCCCUGCAGUUCAUGUAUUCUCAGUGGCCCAGAGCACUGCAGUGGGUACGUGUAUUUGGAGAGGUUAGCAGUAUAAGCCCAGGUAGAGGCAGAUUGGAGUUUAAUCCCUGCCUAUAAUUUACCAGCAGUUUUCUGCAUCUCAUCUAUAAAAUGGGGAAAGUCACUUCCGCUUCAAAGAACUAUUUUCAGGGUUAAAUAAAAUACCCAAUGUUUAUUGCUCAGUGAUGUGUCUGACAGAACAUGUAUUCCAUAAGAGUGGUUAUUGUGGUUGUUAUACAUGCUUUGAGUCAGUCUAUAAAUUUAUGCUAAAUACAAAGUGAAAUAUUACUAGAAAAGACCAGGAAAAGACUGUUCAGAGGAGUGAAAUAUUUGUGUUAUGUAAUUAAAAAGGAAGGAAGUUUCUUACUUUAAUAACAUACAGUCAGAGAACUAUAUGCAUAAAUUAUGGUAAAACUUGCUUUAAUGAAUAAAAGAAGAAUAUAUAGAUAUCAGUGUUAGAUUUCAAUUCUAGAAUUAUCCUUUCAGCAAUUUCUUUACUUUUGCUCUUUGGCUCUCUCGACUUCCACCCUUUGAGGGAAGUAGUGGGGAUAGUAUAGUAAAACUACAUGUGUGGGGGGAAGUGAUAUCUAUAUCUCUAUUUAUCUACCUACCUACCUCCUUAUCAUCUAUCACCUACUACACAAAAUAAGAUAUAUAAGACAGUGAUUAUUUUAAGAUUAUAAUAAUUUUUUUCUGUAAGUAGACUUUUUUAUUUUAAAAGAAUUUGAUUCCUUUAAAAAAGACUUUAUUUAGAUUGUAUAUGAUGUGAUGUUUUCACAUAUUGACACAACACACAUAUGCAUGUAGUAAAGCAAUUACUACAGUCAAAAUGUUACAUAACCCUCUUCUCACAUAAAUUCCUUUUUCCUCUCUUUCUCUUUUGUGUGGGUUAAGAAUGCUUAAAAUCUACUCUGACAGUAGCAAAUUUCUAGUAUCCAGUACAAUAUUAUUCACUAUAGUUUUUAUGUUGUAUAUUAGCUACCCAGAACUUCUUUAUUUUAGAUAACUGUGUCUUUGUACCCUUUGACCUAUCUCUCCUAAUUUCCUUCAUUUUUCCCUUAAAAUUAUUUUAAGGGCCAAAAAUUAAUCUAAUGUAGGGGCUGGGGAUGUGGCUCAAGCGGUAGCACGAUCGCCUGGCAUGCGUGUGGCCCGGGUUCGAUCCUUAGCACCACAUACGAACAAAGAUGUUGUGUCUGUGGAAAACUAAUAAAUAAAUAAAUAUUUAAAAAAAAAAUUAAUCUAAUGUAGACAUACAUAUUCUCUUUGUAAAACCAUUUACAUUAUUGCUUAUCUAAUUAUUUUGUGAUUUAUAUAAUUAAAAAUUAACCUCAAAGGGGUUGUGAUUUGGAUAGGGUACAUGAAAUAUCUUCUGGAGUGGAUGACAACAUUUGAUUCCUUAAUCUGUGCUGGGAGCCAUUAGCCAAGUAGGUAUGACAGUUUCCUUGCCAGCGUACCCCAUGUUGCUGACAUGUUGCAGUGACAUUGAAUGUAGGUGACCUUGCUCAAGGACCAAGGCAGAUUAGGGUGUUCCCGGUUUUAAGAUAAUCGUGUUUAGGGCGUUCCCAGUUUAGGUUCCAGGUUUAAGGUUUAAGAUUAUUCCUGCUGUGAAUAGGGCGUAUCCUGCUGCCUGAGUUCCCCUUGAGUUCUCACGGGAUUUAGACAGUAUAUUUUGGAGAUAGAAGCCCAGUGGAGGUGGAUUUGGGCAGAGAACGUGGAUUUCCC